UACAGAGGUGGCAAGCGUUGUUCGGAUUUACUGGGCGUAAAGGGUGCGUAGGCGGUCGCGUGUGUCGGAUGUGAAAUCCCACGGAUUAUCUGUGGAACUGCAUUCGAAACUGCGCGGCUUGAGUGCAGGAGAGGAGAGCGGAAUUCUUGGUGUAGCGGUGAAAUGCGUUGAUAUCAAGAGGAACGCCGGUGACGAAGGUGGCUCUCUGGACUGCUACUGACGCUGAGGCACGAAAGCUAGGGGAGCAAACAGG
This 253-nucleotide ribosomal RNA is filed under the name uncultured bacterium. RNAcentral's name for it is "partial 16S ribosomal RNA". It matches the Rfam family "Bacterial small subunit ribosomal RNA", at positions 524 to 776 of the family's 1533-position model. The record is from RNAcentral.